RNAcentral lists this ribosomal RNA (447 nucleotides) under uncultured bacterium. Its description in RNAcentral is "bacterial SSU rRNA". It matches the Rfam family "Bacterial small subunit ribosomal RNA", at positions 329 to 792 of the family's 1533-position model. The record is from RNAcentral.
GGCCAGACUCCUACGGGAGGCAGCAGUGGGGAAUAUUGCACAAUGGGGGGAACCCUGAUGCAGCGACGCCGCGUGGGUGAAGGAGCACCUCGGUGCGUAAAGCCCUCUCGGCAGGGAAGAAACAGACGGUACCUGACUAAGAAGCCCCGGCUAACUACGUGCCAGUAGCCGCGGUAAUACGUAGGGGGCAAGCGUUAUCCGGAUUUACUGGGCGUAAAGGGAGCGUAGGUGGCAUGGUAAGCCAGAAGUGAAAACCCGGGGCUCAACCCCGCGGAUUGCUUUUGGAACUAUCAGGCUGGAGUGCUGGAGGGGUAAGCGGAAUUCCUAGUGUAGCGGUGAAAUGCGUAGAUAUUAGGAGGAACACCGGUGGCGAAGGCGGCUUACUGGACAGAAACUGACACUGAGGCUCGAAAGCGUGGGGAGCAAACAGGAUUAGAUACCCCAGUA